GACGAACGCUGGCGGCGUGCUUAACACAUGCAAGUCGAACGGAAAGGCCCUGCUUUUGUGGGGUGCUCGAGUGGCGAAACGGUUAAUUAACACUGGAGUAACCUGCCCUUAAUUUUGGGAUAACUUCAGGAAACUGGGGCUAAUACCGGUUGGGGCCUCUGCCUGCUGGUGGGGGGUUGGAAAGUUUCGGCGGUGGGGGAUGGACUCGCGGCUUAUCAGCUUGUUGGUGGGGUAGUGGCUUACCAAGGCUUUGACGGGUAGCCGGCCUGAGAGGGUGACCGGCCACAUUGGGACUGAGAUACGGCCCAGACUCCUACGGGAGGCAGCAGUGGGGAAUAUUGCACAAUGGGCGGAAGCCUGAUGCAGCAACGCCGCGUGCGGGAUGACGGCCUUCGGGUUGUAAACCGCUUUCGCCUGUGACGAAGCGUGAGUGACGGUAAUGGGUAAAGAAGCACCGGCUAACUACGUG
RNAcentral lists this ribosomal RNA (469 nucleotides) under uncultured bacterium. Its description in RNAcentral is "partial 16S ribosomal RNA". It matches the Rfam family "Bacterial small subunit ribosomal RNA", at positions 28 to 507 of the family's 1533-position model. The record is from RNAcentral.